AUUUUGCCUUCCUUUGGUAAAGUUCUGUGAUUCCAUGAUCUUCUGAUGUGGGAAGAAAAUCUUGAAAUAGGAUGGCACUUAGCAGGCAAACAUGCACGCUGCGGAGAGGUGCCCGCCUCUUUGAGGUUGGAAUAUCUGCACCCCUGUGAUAGAGCCUGUGCUCUUUAUCUGCUCCA
RNAcentral lists this small RNA (176 nucleotides) under Homo sapiens (human). Its description in RNAcentral is "nc062 non-coding RNA". The record is from RNAcentral. Lineage: Eukaryota; Metazoa; Chordata; Mammalia; Primates; Hominidae.